Molecule: transfer RNA, 72 nt
Filed under: Capsicum annuum
Lineage: Eukaryota; Viridiplantae; Streptophyta; Magnoliopsida; Solanales; Solanaceae
Rfam family: tRNA
About the family: Transfer RNA (tRNA) molecules are approximately 80 nucleotides in length. Their secondary structure includes four short double-helical elements and three loops (D, anti-codon, and T loops). Further hydrogen bonds mediate the characteristic L-shaped molecular structure. tRNAs have two regions of fundamental functional importance: the anti-codon, which is responsible for specific mRNA codon recognition, and the 3' end, to which the tRNAs corresponding amino acid is attached (by aminoacyl-tRNA synthetases). tRNAs cope with the degeneracy of the genetic code in two manners: having more than one tRNA (with a specific anti-codon) for a particular amino acid; and 'wobble' base-pairing, i.e. permitting non-standard base-pairing at the 3rd anti-codon position.
Source: Rfam by way of RNAcentral
UGGGGUGUGGACAAGUAGUAAGGCAAUGGGUUUUGGUCCUACUAUUCGGAGGUUCCAAUCCUUCCGUCCCAG